RNAcentral lists this long non-coding RNA (489 nucleotides) under Equus caballus (horse). RNAcentral describes it as "lncRNA (ENSECAG00000059302.1)". Lineage: Eukaryota; Metazoa; Chordata; Mammalia; Perissodactyla; Equidae. The record is from RNAcentral.
AUUUAAUCAUUCGUGCCUGUGUAAUGAGGCUUCCAUGAAAACCCAAAAGGACUGGUGCCCCUUCCCACAGACCUCGCCCUAUGCGUCUCUUCCAUCUGCUGUUCCUGAGUUAUAUUCGUUCAUAAUAAACCUGUGAUCUGGAAGACUCAAGUGGUCUCUGAAUUUUUCCUGGAAAACAAAAGUGGCCUUCAGAGGUCAAGCGGAGAGAAGUGACCGGAAUUUGCACUGCAUGAGCAUCGCUCCAUUCACAGGAAGAUAAUCAGUGGCUAUUUGGGGUUACCUGUCACGGGGGGACGUUUGCCAGAAGGAUCGGGGUCCCUGAGAGCCUUUUCUUUUGUGGCUGAAGUUAAAAAACAGCUGGAGGACGAGAAAUUUGUCUUAAAUGCUGGUUUUCAUCCCUGUGUCUUGCUGACUUCUUCCAGUCCUUUAGGAAUUAGCCUUCACAAGAUGAAAAGCGAGUGGGGCUUUGAAGAGGCCCCUGAUGGUGCC